UAUCUCUGUAGAGUCUGCAUAUCAAUAAGCGGAGGAAAAGAAACUAACUAGGAUUCCCUCAGUAACGGCGAGUGAAGCGGGAAGAGCUCAAAUUUGAAAUCUUCAAGGUUCUACCUUGACGAAUUGUAGUUUAAAGAAGUGUUUUCUGUUGGAGUUUGGUAAAAGUUCUUUGGAAUAGGACAUCAUAGAGGGUGAGAAUCCCGUAUUUGACCAUUAUUUCCAGCUUUGUGAUACACUUUCAACGAGUCGGAUUGUUUGGGAAUGCAGUCCAAAAUGGGUGGUAAAUUUCAUCUAAAGCUAAUUAUUGGCGAGAGAUCGAUAGCGAACAAGUACCGUGAGGGAAAGAUGAAAAGAACUUUGAAAAGAGAGUUAAACAGUACGUGAAAUUGUCAAAAGGGAAGCGUUUGACACCAGUGUUGUUUUUCCGAAAAUCAAUUACGAAUGUAUUCAUUGCUAGGUAGUUAUUGACUUCAUCGGCUUGCUGCUUAGUUUAUGGAAUCUUUCUUAAUGCACUUUUCGGUUAACAAGUCAACAUCAAUUUCUUUUGUUGUAAAAGGGUAUGAGGAAGGUGGCUUUCUUUUCGGAGAAAGUGUUUAUAGCCUUUGGCCUCUGCAAUCGGAGAGAUUGAGGUCUGCAGCGUAGAUCCUUCGGGGUUAGAUACAUUUGUGCUAAGCUAUAGCCUUUCAUAGACAACUUGUUGACUAUGAUCAGUCAUGUAGCUUACUCGCUUAUGCUAUUUUACCUACGCUUAGGAUGUUGAGUAGCGACAUACGCAC
Molecule: ribosomal RNA, 776 nt
Filed under: uncultured Neocallimastigales
Lineage: Eukaryota; Fungi; Neocallimastigomycota; Neocallimastigomycetes; Neocallimastigales
Description: partial large subunit ribosomal RNA
Rfam family: Eukaryotic large subunit ribosomal RNA
Source: RNAcentral